GCCUCUUACUAUUUCGUCACUGCAUCUGUCACAACUCACAAGUUCAUGAAACUGCGACAAUGUUCUGGGUGUAUUUAGGUCCCCGCCCGCCCCUCUGUGCAAGCCCAGGAACUCCAGGACCCCGUCUAUCCCCUUCCCUGCUGAAGACCCCAAGCCCAGUAAAGUUCUCUUAAAUGAAUGCUGCGUACAAGCAAAAACAUUACUUUUAAUAUUCCUUGUUGCUAAGCAAACUUUAUGUACCUUCAUUUUGUGAAAAAAAAAAUAACCCGAGCCAUUCGUGGUCUCUGGCUAAAGGAGGGGUGACUCCGGGGCCUCAUCUACCCCAGGGACACGCUUAGUGAUCCAAGGUGCCAGCGGAAGGCAGACAGCACAGGGAAGUCACCGCCCUCUCCCCCUUCGAGCAGACAAGACAGCACAGGUGGCAAACUGAUGACCUUAACCUGGAUUAGCUGGAUCCACAAGAGUGAAAAUUUUAAGGAAAUGGAAGGCGAGACAUCCUGUUUGAGGCACCUGUGGGUCCUUUAAUCCUCUUUAGAAAAGCACAGGCACAUCAUCAUGCACGCAAAGUGUUCCCACACACACAGAUCUGGUCUCUUUACACACCCUGUCUGAACAGGGAGGCCCUGCAGGGAGGGACUCUGCCCAGUUUACAGGCUGGGGAAGGUAAGCGGAGCCCAGAGGGACAACUGGGCCAGAGCACCUGCUGUGGGAGCCGCAGCCCUGAUCUACGGAGCCCGGAACAGGUUGAAGGAAGAGGAGGGACAGACCAGAAAGGACACCUUUCUCAUGAUUACUUGUGCUUUGUGUUGUGACAACAGUCCAGGCCUUCGGGAAAGGCAUGUUUCCCCUGCUAAGUUAUUGUUCUUCCAAAGUCAAGCCUCCACCAGAGAAGAAAAGAAUGUGCAAAUGUCAGAAGCAGGAAAAAACUGCCAGAAUACAGGCAAUCCUAAAAAUCAAACAGUGCCUUCAAUGGAAAGGCAGGCAAUAAAUACAUGAAUGAAUGAAUGGUCUCAAGAA
Neofelis nebulosa (Clouded leopard) is the source of this 1017-nucleotide long non-coding RNA. RefSeq lists it as uncharacterized. NCBI's taxonomy places the organism in Eukaryota, Metazoa, Chordata, Mammalia, Carnivora, Felidae. The transcript has 2 exons. The record is from RefSeq and is a predicted model, not a curated record.